This is a non-coding RNA of Lacerta agilis (Sand lizard), 73 nucleotides long. NCBI's taxonomy places the organism in Eukaryota, Metazoa, Chordata, Lepidosauria, Squamata, Lacertidae. The record is from the annotation of a RefSeq genome assembly.
CCCCACUUAGCUCAGUUGGUAGAGCAUGAGGCUUAUAAUCUCAGGGCCGUGGGUUUAAACCCCACAUUGGGCA